This 504-nucleotide ribosomal RNA is filed under the name uncultured bacterium. Its description in RNAcentral is "partial 16S ribosomal RNA". It matches the Rfam family "Bacterial small subunit ribosomal RNA", at positions 30 to 523 of the family's 1533-position model. The record is from RNAcentral.
AUUGAACGCUGGCGGCAGGCCUAAUACAUGCAAGUCGAACGGUAGCAGAACUAGCUUGCUAGUUGCUGACGAGUGGCGAACGGGUGAGUAACGCGUGGGAAUCUACCUGGUAGUGGGGGAUAACAGUCGGAAACGACUGCGAAUACCGCAUACGUCCUAAGGGAGAAAGCGGGGGAUCUUCGGACCUCGUGCUCUCCGAUGAGCUCGCGUCGGAUUAGCGAGUUGGUGGGGUAAAGGCCUACCAAGGCGACGAUCCGUAGCUGGUCUGAGAGGAUGAUCAGCCACACUGGAACUGAGACACGGUCCAGACUCCUACGGGAGGCAGCAGUGGGGAAUAUUGGACAAUGGGCGCAAGCCUGAUCCAGCCAUGCCGCGUGUGUGAAGAAGGCCCUAGGGUUGUAAAGCACUUUCAGCAGGGAGGAAAGGAUGUACGUUAAUACCGUGCAUCUGUGACGUUACCUGCAGAAGAAGCACCGGCUAACUCCGUGCCAGCCGCCGCGGUAA